UUUUUUUUUUUUUUUUUCCCAAAAAAGUUACGAGAUCAUAAAAGUAAAAUUUCUGAAAUACCCUCAAGUUGAAUCUUUAGCCAGCCAUAAAAAAAAAAUUUUUGCUAAAAGCAUCAACCAACAACAACCACCAUGUGUGGCCAUAGAUAAUUAGUCAUGAAAUUAAGAUAAAUCAGAAACGAAGGAGGAUGUGAAAUUUUCAACUACCAUAGCAGAUCCUUAAUUAACAAAGAAGAAAGCGAACACAAAACUUAGAUCCAUCAAAUUGGUUGAAAUGAACAUGUGAAACUGCAACUACC
RNAcentral lists this unclassified non-coding RNA (299 nucleotides) under Hevea brasiliensis (rubber tree). The record is from RNAcentral. Lineage: Eukaryota; Viridiplantae; Streptophyta; Magnoliopsida; Malpighiales; Euphorbiaceae.